UGAGGAAUAUUGGUCAAUGGACGCAAGUCUGAACCAGCCAAGUAGCGUGCAGGAUGACGGCCCUAUGGGUUGUAAACUGCUUUUAUAUGGGGAUAAAGUGGGGAACGUGUUCCCUUUUGCAGGUACCAUAUGAAUAAGGACCGGCUAAUUCCGUGCCAGCAGCCGCGGUAAUACGGAAGGUUCGGGCGAUAUCCGGAUUUAUUGGGUUUAAAGGGAGCGUAGGCCGUUUGGUAAGCGUGUUGUGAAAUGUAGGAGCUCAACUUCUAGAUUGCAGCGCGAACUGUCAGACUUGAGUGCGCACAACGUAGGCGGAAUUCAUGGUGUAGCGGUGAAAUGCUUAGAUAUCAUGAAGAACUCCGAUUGCGAAGGCAGCUUACGGGAGCGAAACUGACGCUGAAGCUCGAAGGUGCGGGUAUCGAACAGG
This 424-nucleotide ribosomal RNA is filed under the name Verrucomicrobiota bacterium. RNAcentral's name for it is "Verrucomicrobia bacterium partial 16S ribosomal RNA". It matches the Rfam family "Bacterial small subunit ribosomal RNA", at positions 355 to 776 of the family's 1533-position model. Lineage: Bacteria; Pseudomonadati; Verrucomicrobiota. The record is from RNAcentral.